AACCUUUACUAUAGCUUGACACUGAACAUUGAGCCUUGAUGUGUAGGAUAGGUGGGAGGCUUUGAAGUGUGGACGCCAGUCUGCAUGGAGCCGACCUUGAAAUACCACCCUUUAAUGUUUGAUGUUCUAACGUUGACCCGUAAUCCGGGUUGCGGACAGUGUCUGGUGGGUAGUUUGACUGGGGCGGUCUCCUCCUAAAGAGUAACGGAGGAGCACGAAGGUUGGCUAAUCCUGGUCGGACAUCAGGAGGUUAGUGCAAUGGCAUAAGCCAGCUUGACUGCGAGCGUGACGGCGCGAGCAGGUGCGAAAGCAGGUCAUAGUGAUCCGGUGGUUCUGAAUGGAAGGGCCAUCGCUCAACGGAUAAAAGGUACUCCGGGGAUAACAGGCUGAUACCGCCCAAGAGUUCAUAUCGACGGCGGUGUUUGGCACCUCGAUGUCGGCUCAUCACAUCCUGGGGCUGAAGUAGGUCCCAAGGGUAUGGCUGUUCGCCAUUUAAAGUGGUACGCGAGCUGGGUUUAGAACGUCGUGAGACAGUUCGGUCCCUA
This 545-nucleotide ribosomal RNA is filed under the name Escherichia coli. Its description in RNAcentral is "partial 23S ribosomal RNA". It matches the Rfam family "Bacterial large subunit ribosomal RNA", at positions 2096 to 2640 of the family's 2925-position model. The record is from RNAcentral. Lineage: Bacteria; Pseudomonadati; Pseudomonadota; Gammaproteobacteria; Enterobacterales; Enterobacteriaceae.